CUACUUACCUGGUGCCGGGGUCACCGUGAUCAGCUAGGAGGUGCCCCCAGGGAGAGGCGCGGGCAUUGCACUGCGCUCGUGCUGACCCCUGCCACUACCCCAAACUGGGGCAGAUGGGGCAUGCAAUUUUUGGUAGUGGGGGACUGCGUUCGCGCUAUCCCCCU
Molecule: small nuclear RNA, 164 nt
Filed under: Rhipicephalus sanguineus (brown dog tick)
Lineage: Eukaryota; Metazoa; Arthropoda; Arachnida; Ixodida; Ixodidae
Description: U1 spliceosomal RNA
Rfam family: U1 spliceosomal RNA
About the family: U1 is a small nuclear RNA (snRNA) component of the spliceosome (involved in pre-mRNA splicing). Its 5' end forms complementary base pairs with the 5' splice junction, thus defining the 5' donor site of an intron. There are significant differences in sequence and secondary structure between metazoan and yeast U1 snRNAs, the latter being much longer (568 nucleotides as compared to 164 nucleotides in human).
Source: Rfam by way of RNAcentral